GGGGUCGAUUUGGUUUAGACAGCAAGACCAAUUGAAUGUUAAGCACGCCGAGCGCUGAGUUAUGGCUCGUAAAUCUCGUGAUUCAUCUUUUUUAAACGGCGAGAAUAACUACGCCAUGGCUGCGUAAUCCGAAGUGAAGUAGGAUACGCUUAAUCACUUGCGAGGCAGGUGACCAUGAUGUCUCUUGAAGGCCUUGAUUUGCGGCGUUCAAUCCAGAGGCACCGGAAAGUAAAUCUAGUAGUAGGUUUGUUCCGCACUUACUGCGAAACUUAAGGAACUAAGCUUUAGGUAGAUUGUUUGCUAUCGGCCUAAAGUCGAAAAUUUAAAGCAAACUAAGCGUGUAGAAAUUCAUUGAAUUGCUUGUUUGGACGGGAGUUCGAGUCUCCCCGACUCCACUA
RNAcentral lists this transfer-messenger RNA (398 nucleotides) under Psychroflexus sp. It matches the Rfam family "transfer-messenger RNA". From Rfam's summary of the family: Bacterial tmRNA, also known as 10Sa RNA or SsrA, is named for its dual tRNA and mRNA-like properties. Its role is to liberate the mRNA from a stalled ribosome. The record is from RNAcentral. Lineage: Bacteria; Pseudomonadati; Bacteroidota; Flavobacteriia; Flavobacteriales; Flavobacteriaceae.